This 265-nucleotide ribosomal RNA is filed under the name uncultured bacterium. RNAcentral describes it as "partial 16S ribosomal RNA". It matches the Rfam family "Bacterial small subunit ribosomal RNA", at positions 793 to 1055 of the family's 1533-position model. The record is from RNAcentral.
GUCCCAGCCGUAAACGAUGGACACUGAGUGAAAGAGGGCUUGCCCUUUUUGCUGCAGCUAACGCGUUAAGUGUCCCGCCUGGGGAGUACGGCCGCAAGGUUAAAACUCAAAGGAAUUGACGGGGGCUCGCACAAGCGGUGGAGCAUGUGGUUCAAUUCGAUGCAACGCGAAGAACCUUACCCGGGCUUGAAGUGGAGGUGGUAGGAACCGGAAACGGUGACGACCCCGAAAGGGGAGCCUUCAUCAGGUGUUGCAUGGCUGUCGU